Non-coding RNA from Punica granatum (pomegranate), 841 nucleotides. The record is from RefSeq and is a predicted model, not a curated record. Lineage: Eukaryota; Viridiplantae; Streptophyta; Magnoliopsida; Myrtales; Lythraceae.
CUUACACUAGUCUAUGUCUAACCCUAAUUUCGAAAUUUCCUCAUGCCAUUCUAGUUCCGCUGUUCCAGUAGGAGAUCGGAGUUAAUCUUCGCAAAAUCACAACUUCGCAAGUUCACCUCUUCGGGCUUCCUGCUUCCGGAUAAGAUUCAUUUGAUUUCCUUCCUGCUUCCACUGGAUUUCCUUCGGAAUUGGGAUCCUUGAUUCCUUGAGUUGAAUCCUUCCAGUCUCCAGAUCCAGAGCCUCCACCGAAGACGACUUCGACCAUCCGCUCAGACGAAGCCUCCGCUUGAAUCCUUCCGCCGUUCGGUCGACAGCACCCAGAUGAAGGCAACCUCACCGCGCGACCUAGAUCUCGGGUCAACCCCGUGACCGCGACCGCCACCUCGCGACCCUCGAGCCCUCUCUGUGUCUGCUCUGUUCCGACUAGCAAAGUGCUGCUUCAGGGUUACUUGUUUCCAUAGGUUCCCACUUGCCUGACCUGGCGGAUGUGUUGGGAAGCCCAGUGGUAAGACCAGCAAACAUAGAGACAACAGCACUGGGAGCAGCCUAUGCUGCUGGACUAGCUGUAGGAGUAUGGACUGAGGAUGAAAUCUUCUCCCAGGAGAAAAUAAAAAACGCCACAAUGAUCCGCCCUGCAAUUGAUGAGGAGCUGAGGAAGAAGAAAUUGCAGUCGUUGGCCAAAGCCAUUGAAAGGACAUUCGACUUGGCCGACCUCUCCCUUUAAAUUCCUUAAUAGAUGUUUCCUUUCUAUAUAUUACGUUACUACAUGAACACUCGAAAUUAGUAAUUAUCUGGUUGUGCAUUGAUAUCUUUUCUUGAAUAAGAAUAUUUCUUGGUGCCC